GAUGAACGCUAGCGGCAGGCUUAAUACAUGCAAGUCGAGGGGCAGCGGGGUAGCAAUACCGCCGGCGACCGGCAAACGGGUGCGGAACACGUACAGAACCUUCCUUUAAGCGGGGGAUAGCCCAUAGAAAUGUGGAUUAAUACCCCAUAGUAAUGCUGGUUGGCAUCAACUGGUAUUUAAAGAUUUAUCACUUAAAGAUGGCUGUGCGGCUGAUUAGGUAGUUGGUGCGGGUAACGCCCACCAAGCCAGCGAUCAGUAACUGGUGUGAGAGCACGACCAGUCACACGGGCACUGAGACACGGGCCCGACUCCUACGGGAGGCAGCAGUAAGGAAUAUUGGUCAAU
RNAcentral lists this ribosomal RNA (345 nucleotides) under uncultured bacterium. Its description in RNAcentral is "bacterial SSU rRNA". It matches the Rfam family "Bacterial small subunit ribosomal RNA", at positions 28 to 372 of the family's 1533-position model. The record is from RNAcentral.